This is a long non-coding RNA of Drosophila obscura, 1046 nucleotides long. RefSeq lists it as uncharacterized. The transcript has 3 exons. The record is from RefSeq and is a predicted model, not a curated record. Lineage: Eukaryota; Metazoa; Arthropoda; Insecta; Diptera; Drosophilidae.
AGACGAUACAAUACACGUAGACAGAGGGAGUGAGUGGAGUUUCAAUUCUCUUUUUAUCUGUGCUUCGUCCCCUCGCACAAGCGAAUGGUUUAAGACGGAAUGUCCUCUGGGGCCUUGCCAGAGGCGAAGGAUGCGCUACGACAACGAAGCGUCGAACGAAAAUUGAAAUGAAGUUUGUUCUUUGUAAUUUUAUAUUCUUUGCCAAAACCUUAACAACAUGCCAUAAAGGAAAAUAUAGGGAAAGGCAAUAAUGUUUCCAGCUGUUCCGACCUCAUUAAGAUUAAUGUACAUAUACCUAUGUACACUGUACAUGCAUAUAAAGUCCUGAUCAUACGAAACAAUUAAUCUAAAAUUAUAUCGAAAGAUUCAGUCGUCAUGCAAAGGACCACCCUAAUGUCGGUCAACACUGCUUCUGUCAAAGGUAUCUAUUAGCGGAUUUCUGACAAAAUUUGAAGAAGCUGCACAAUUUGGUUUGGUUUGGUUUGUGCUUUACAGCCAUUGAUAGCAGGCAAAAUGGAAACAAGUGUGCUCGUGCGGAAAAACCACCACUGAAAUCACGGCUAAGCUUGAUCAAUACUAUGGUAUGGGAAGUCCGCUUCCAAAGCACAAACGAUGCCAACCAUCCUGGACGGCCCAGCUAAGGUUGCUACCCGAAACAAUUGAAAAAAAAUUCACGAUAUGGUGUUGGUCGAUCGGAGAUUGAAUUCCUCCUUCACCCGCCCUAACCUGAUGAAAUGACCCGGCGAAAAGAGAUUUAAUUCCAACGAGAUUCGUGAAGGAUACAAAAAUUGGAGAAACGUUGGCGUUGAAACGUAUGGCUAAAAGAAGACUGUGAUUAAAAAAUUAUGGUUUAUCCAAUAACCUGUUUCGUUAAAAAAUCCACGGACUUAUUGAACAUCCCUCGUACAUAUAUGACAAAAUUCAUACAUACAUAUGUCUGUUCUGUGCAUAAACGAUUCACAUGAAUCUCACUCUCAGCUCUUGAUCACUCUAUUGUAUUCAAUUAAACCAUUUAUAAACAUAUUAAAUUUUUGUGCUCUUGAACU